Molecule: long non-coding RNA, 742 nt
Organism: Photinus pyralis (common eastern firefly)
Lineage: Eukaryota; Metazoa; Arthropoda; Insecta; Coleoptera; Lampyridae
Exons: 3
Source: RefSeq, a predicted model, not a curated record
GGCCGAUUGGAGGAUUGCGGGACGACAACGGCUUGUCUUCGCCUUCGGCUGCAUGCUGCAUUUCAAGUUCAACUGCAUUCUGCAAUCGAAGCGUGGUUGGUAAUGGCGAGGCGAUGUUUCUGUUUAGUUUUUGUCGGUUAGUGUGAAUGUUAUGGCCAUUUUUAAUUUCCUGCUGUCCUUAAAACGAAACUAUUAGGUGGGCAUUUUACAAUAAACAAUAAUGCAAGAGAGCUGUGUAGUCCUUCCACUGUACCAUCCGCUAGUAACAAACCAUUCUCGGGGCGUUGUGAAUAUCCAGACUGAUCUUGACCUUAACAAGAAAGCCCAUGCAAAUGAUGCAACUUAAAAUGGCAAUUGUGUGAUUGACAAAGCCAGGCGGAGGUGAAGGUAUUUGGACAGAGGUUGACGGAAUUUCAGACAGAACGUGCACCCGUUUUCAAUGGACUUGCGGUGACCCAUUACUUUGACUGGUGCUAUUCAAACUAGUCUCCGGUUCCGGUGUGCCAUAAUCAUCUAAAAGGAGUCUCUCGAGUUUGUGGACGAUAGUAGGAAUCUCUUCUUUCGCCAAAAACCUUCACUAGUCCUUAAUACACAAUCUAAAUCCAUAAAAACGGCCUAUUAUCUUACCUUUCACUGUACAUCAAGAAUAAAAUCCAGUAUGAGAGAUGGUUCCUAAUAUAAAACUUCUUGCAGACACAUCACAACAAAAUCCUAACACUAUAAUGUUUAUUUUGCGGUUAUU